Molecule: ribosomal RNA, 708 nt
Filed under: Triticum aestivum (bread wheat)
Lineage: Eukaryota; Viridiplantae; Streptophyta; Magnoliopsida; Poales; Poaceae
Description: partial small subunit ribosomal RNA
Source: RNAcentral
AUGGGCAAGCUCGGCGGUAGCGGUAGCAACUCCAAAUCUGCAUUUAGGCGAGCUCUUUCGAAAGUACAUACUAAUAGGCAAGAACAGGGGUCUGCCAAAAAAGCUUCCGAUGGCUCUCGCUCAAAGAAACGGAGCUCCGUCAAGAAGAAACCAUGGAAGGACAAGUUGUACACCAGGUGUGCUCCUUCUAUCAUUAUAGAUCUCUUGGAAGACCUAGGUGAGCAGCAGAGAAGGCUUGUAGAAGAGAUGGGUUUUCAGGGAUUAUAUAGUCUGAAGCUACAUAAGCUGAAUAAACCGAUAGGAGCCUGGCUCCUAAGUAAAUUUGAUGCGGAAUUGUUGCUUUUUUUCGCUGGGACAAGCAGGGAGCUCAAGAUGACACCCGAGGAUGUUAAUCGUGUGAGUGGACUCCCUUGUUCCGGCCAGAUCAUAAUACCUCCAAGCACACAGGAUGUUAGUUCCAUGAAAGCAUAUUUUUGUGGUGUUUUUAGAAAAGAUUCAUGGGAUGAAAUCACCAUCAGUAGCCUUUUGAAGAUAAUUUCAAAAAAAUAUGUUGAUCCGAUGACAAAUGAUGAGAUCCUCCAAUUCAAGACCGCGUUUGCAUUUUGUGUUGUUACCAAAUUCUUAGCUCCACAGUCCCUUAAUAACUUCAUAUCAACACGAUAUCUGAAACCGGUGUUUGAUAUGGCGAACAUUCAUACAUACAACUAG